UUUUUUUAAGAAGUCAAAGGAUUUAGAAAAGCUAAGCAACGAAAAGCAACAUCAAAAAUCAUAAGUGUUUAAUCCUUUCAGGUAAUUUCAUAUGGUAGGAAUUUCAACGGCAAUAUUCAUUCUUUUCGCCGUUGCUGCUAUCAAAUGGGCCUUACCCUCUCAGCUUACGACGUCACUGCGCGAGCUUUGUACGCUGGUUUGAAAACUCAACUCAUAGGGAUUGCUCUCAUGAUUGUCACUGUCAUUCAGAUAACCAAUGGCUUUGGUAACUUGAACUCAUUAAUGCUGAGCUUUCAAAAUAUUUGCUCAGCACUUAGUCGACUCUCAUACUGGUUAUAUCUUUUUCAAUGUACCCAUCAUAUAUUCUAUUGUUGCCGCUAUGAAGACACCGAUCCAUAUGACUUACGAAGGAACAGUGUUUGGAGGUCAACAUCUGGGUGA
RNAcentral lists this long non-coding RNA (441 nucleotides) under Bemisia tabaci. Its description in RNAcentral is "lncRNA ENSSWEETPG001859". The record is from RNAcentral. Lineage: Eukaryota; Metazoa; Arthropoda; Insecta; Hemiptera; Aleyrodidae.